Molecule: ribosomal RNA, 490 nt
Filed under: uncultured bacterium
Lineage: Bacteria
Description: partial 16S ribosomal RNA
Rfam family: Bacterial small subunit ribosomal RNA
Source: RNAcentral
AGUGAACGCUGGCGGUAGGCCUAACACAUGCAAGUCGAACGGCAGCACAGUAAGAGCUUGCUCUUACGGGUGGCGAGUGGCGGACGGGUGAGGAAUACAUCGGAAUCUACUUUUUCGUGGGGGAUAACGUAGGGAAACUUACGCUAAUACCGCAUACGACCUACGGGUGAAAGCAGGGGAUCUUCGGACCUUGCGCGAUUGAAUGAGCCGAUGUCGGAUUAGCUAGUUGGCGGGGUAAAGGCCCACCAAGGCGACGAUCCGUAGCUGGUCUGAGAGGAUGAUCAGCCACACUGGAACUGAGACACGGGCCAGACUCCUACGGGAGGCAGCAGUGGGGAAUAGUGGACAAUGGGCGCAAGCCGGAUCCAGCCAUACCGCGUGGGUGAAGAAGGCCUUCGGGUUGUAAAGCCCUUUUGUUGGGAAAGAAAAGCAGCAGGUUAAUACCCCGCUGUUCUGACGGUACCCAAAGAAUAAGCACCGGCUAACUUCG